Hyaena hyaena (striped hyena) is the source of this 415-nucleotide long non-coding RNA. RefSeq lists it as uncharacterized. The record is from RefSeq and is a predicted model, not a curated record. NCBI's taxonomy places the organism in Eukaryota, Metazoa, Chordata, Mammalia, Carnivora, Hyaenidae. The transcript is spliced from 5 exons.
GGCGAAGGUGGCAGCUGGGAAGAUUUCCGUGUCCAGAGAGAGGUGUUCCUGAUGUGUCUGUUGAAAUAAACUAGUAACCGGCUCACGUGGCCAGAGACCAGCAUCUGCCUUGUUGAAGCCUUGGAGCACUAUGCACAUUGCAAGAUGCAGACUUCAGUUAUCUGUGAGAGGAAAGGAGAAAGAAUCUAAGGGAAUGGGAUUUUUCUCUGGAAGAACUGACGUUUUUCUCACAGACAGAGAUGCUCAGAGCAUAGGGACAGCAUUCUUCCCAUUUGGAAUAAUCCUUCAUCAUCCCUACAAUUUGUAAAAAGAUUGAUGAGGUAUCAGUUCCAGGUUUUGUCGCACCAGUCACUGAGUAGGUGCAGGCUUUACAAGACAGGCCCAGAGCUUGGAGCUGGGUGAAAAGCACUCAGAG